CAGCACCUCAAGUGGUCAGGAUGAUUAUUGGGCCUAAAGCAUCCGUAGCCGGCGCUGUAAGUUUUCGGUUAAAUCUGUACGCUCAACGUACAGGCUGCCGGGAAUACUGCAGCGCUAGGGAGUGGGAGAGGUAGACGGUACCCGGUAGGAAGGGGUAAAAUCCUUUGAUCUAUUGAUGACCACCUGUGGCGAAGGCGGUCUACCAGAACACGUCCGACGGUGAGGGAUGAAAGCUGGGGGAGCAAACCGGAUUAGAUACCCGAGUAGUCC
RNAcentral lists this ribosomal RNA (270 nucleotides) under uncultured archaeon. Its description in RNAcentral is "partial 16S ribosomal RNA". It matches the Rfam family "Archaeal small subunit ribosomal RNA", at positions 477 to 747 of the family's 1478-position model. The record is from RNAcentral.